Molecule: non-coding RNA, 1609 nt
Organism: Macaca mulatta (Rhesus monkey)
Lineage: Eukaryota; Metazoa; Chordata; Mammalia; Primates; Cercopithecidae
Source: RefSeq, a predicted model, not a curated record
CGACUACUGGAUAAUGCUGUAUCCAAUGUUAUCUGUUCUUGUCUUCGGGAACCGCUAUGGCUACGGGGACCCGGAGUUCCUGAGGCUCCUGAACCUCUUCAGUGACAACUUCCGCAUCAUGAGCUCCAGAUGGGGCGAGGUGCCUGGCACGCGGCAGCGCGUCUCCUCUGCCCACGGUAACAGCAGGACCCAGAGAGCCACUUCCAGGAGGAGACGUCAGUAAUGAUGACACACCUUUUUUUUGGUGGCACCGAAACGAGCACCACCCUGUGCUAUGGACUCCUCGUUCUGCUUAAGUACCCAGAGGUGGCAGGUCUGCAAGCCGGAGACCCAGAAUGGGAGGCUGCGGUCUGGGGAUGGCUGGAGGGUCCUGGAAGUGCGCAGCUCAAAGCCUACCCGGGCCCCAGCCAAGGUGCAGGAGCUGGACCCUGUAGUAGGGUGGAGGUGCGCCCCAAGCCCGGACGACCACCAGCGACUGCCCUACACCAACGCAGUGCUGCUCCAGAUCCAGCGCUUCAUCAGCGUGGUGCCGCUGGGGCUACCGCGCUCACCCUCAACACCCACUUGCACAGCCACUGUCUGCCCAAAGGUGCCCACUGAGUUUGGGAAUCCUGUGCGGGGCCCGGGUGCAUGAGGUGUAUUCCGAGAUCAGCCAGAAUCGGUGGGUGUGCGCUGUGCAAACUGAAGCACAAUCAGUUACUCCUGGAGCAGGAUAGCAGGCCUGCCUUCCCUUCGGUUUUUGUUUUUUGAUUUUAUUUAUUUUUUUUGAGACAGUCUCGCCUUAUCGCUCAGGCUGGAGUGCAAUGGCAUGAUCUCAACUCACUGCAACCUCCGCCUCCUGGGUUCAAGCAAUUCUCCUGCUUCAGCCUCCUAAAUACCUGGUAUUACAGGCACCUGCCACCACACCUGGCUAAUUUUUGUGUUUUUAGCAGAGACAGGUUUCGCUGUGUUGGCCAGGCUGGUCUCGAACUUCUUGACCUCGUGAUCCAUGCUCCUCGGCCUCCCAGAGUGCUGGGAUUACAGGCAUGAGCUACCUGCCCGGCCUAUUCCCUUGGGCUUUUAAAAAGGGCCUUGGAUGGAGGAGGUGCACAUGCUCACCAAGCCCACAGGUAAACCAAGUUGCAUGUACCCCCAGGGCACCUUUGUGAUUCCCCUGCUUGUGACUGCCCACUGACCGCACUCAAUUCAAAGACCCAGACUGCUUCAACGCUACCAACUUCCUGGACAAGGGCAAGUCCCAGGGCAAUGACCCUUUCAUGCCCUUUGCCUCAGGUGCAGGCAGGGGAGGAAGGCGACCAGCCUGGACCGGCUCUGGGGUGCAUGGUGCUCACUAUGCACCCGUGUACCUGGGAAAGCAGAUGUGCCUGGGCGCAGGCCUGGCCCACUUGGAGAUCUUCCUAUUCCUUACAGCCACCCUACCGAGGUUCCGCCUGCUCCCUGUGGUAAACCCUGGCACCAUCAACCUCACCUGCAGUUCACUGGCCUGGGCAGUGUCCCCCCAGCCUUCCAGCUCCAGCUAGUGGCCUGCUGAGGUCAGGCUCCGCUGUAGUGGGCUCACUGGCCCUCAAACCUCCGCACCCUCCUUGGUCAAUAAAGGCCCUAAACUGCA